GUGAAUCAUCAAAUCUUUGAACGCAAAUUGCACUCUCUGGUAUUCCGGAGAGUAUGCCUGUUUGAGGGUCAGUAUAUAUAAAAAUCGGUGUGGUUUCUGCCUUUCUUGGUGGCGCACCGGAUUUGGGUCGGCUUGCCUUCGGUUCUGUGACCUAAAGUGUUGCAUGAAUUGUUUCGAACGUAUUUAAAUAAUUUUACGUAGCUUUCGGAUGACGGAUACUAGUUGU
RNAcentral lists this unclassified non-coding RNA (226 nucleotides) under Glomus sp. RNAcentral's name for it is "partial contains 5.8S ribosomal RNA and internal transcribed spacer 2". The stretch from base 1 to 71 matches the Rfam family "5.8S ribosomal RNA", at positions 84 to 154 of the family's 154-position model. Lineage: Eukaryota; Fungi; Glomeromycota; Glomeromycetes; Glomerales; Glomeraceae. The record is from RNAcentral.